Non-coding RNA from Ancylostoma duodenale, 71 nucleotides. The record is from Rfam. Lineage: Eukaryota; Metazoa; Nematoda; Chromadorea; Rhabditida; Ancylostomatidae.
GAGUCGGUGGUUCAGUGGUAGAAUGCUCGCCUGCCACGCGGGCGGUCCAGGCUCGUUUCCCGGCCGAUGUA